RNAcentral lists this ribosomal RNA (18 nucleotides) under Cliffortia arcuata. The record is from RNAcentral. Lineage: Eukaryota; Viridiplantae; Streptophyta; Magnoliopsida; Rosales; Rosaceae. RNAcentral also lists the same sequence under 1 other name.
GGUUGCGAUCAUACCAGC